UGGAAUACUGCCAGCCAUGCCACCUGGGGGCAUUCUGUGGCAAAGCUGGCCUGGCCGAGCCCCAGGGCCUGUGCCACCCUGGGCAUCACUGCGGGCCUGGCUCCAACACCUCGUCCCUGAAGGGACUCCCCUUUGGUGACCUCUGUCCCCCGGGUCAUUUCUGCCCUGCUGGCACCAAGGACCCCAGGCAGUGGCUCUGCCCGGCUGGCACCUGGAAUGCAGAGAGAGGGGCACAGGACAUAAGCUGGUGCCUGCCUCGCCCACCUGGGCUCUUCUGUGCCACCACAGGCCAGGCUGCCCCUGGGGGCCCGUAUGCACCAGGUUUCCACUGCCCAGGAGGGGCGCAGACCCCGACACCCCUUGGUGGGCUGUGGGGACACUUCGAGGGCUCCCUGGCGGCCACACCUCGGCAAGACGGGGAGCACAGCUACGGCACAGGCUGAGAGACCCACCAGGGGAGGACCUGCUCCCCAGGUCAUUACUGCCCCCAGGGCACUAGCCACCUCCCUAGGCCCUGUCCUCCAGGCGUGUCCAGUCCCUGGGAGGACCGAAGCCAGGCCCACAGCUGCCCGCCAUGUC
Homo sapiens (human) is the source of this 579-nucleotide long non-coding RNA. RefSeq lists it as uncharacterized. Lineage: Eukaryota; Metazoa; Chordata; Mammalia; Primates; Hominidae. The record is from RefSeq and is a predicted model, not a curated record. The transcript is spliced from 4 exons.